GGCAGCCGGGCGUAGUGCUGGCCACCCACCCCCCUCGUGUGCCAUCCCAGCCUUCAUAGGUGCUCGCUAACGGCACUUGCCCCAACAGUCUGGUAAGGCUAUACGGGGCAUCUUUGUCUUUGGGUGCGAUGGCGCCGAUCAUACAUGGCGCAGAGCUUCUCGGUGUGCGUUUCGUCACAUUUGGCUCCACGUUAGCAAAGAGUAAUGAUCCCUUCCUCCCCGCGAGCUGUCCUCGUACCCUGAGGUUUUCUUUUGGCGAAGGCAACCUUCGCUGUCAACUAAGGUACUGCUCUAGUUUUUCCCCUUUCCUCUUUGUGUGAUAAAUUUACCCAUCACUCUUGUUAACUUGUGUUCAGUGAUGCCCCCUUACCGAGUGCCAUGCACGCGUAUCGGGAUGUCUGGGAGGAUUUGCAAUUAUUUUCUUGCCGUUUUUUUUUUACUGAGCUCAUUUCAGAGGGGCGCCACGGUAGUUAACAUCCAAAUAUUCAAAACGUGCGUCGAGAUAAUUUUGCUGCUGUAAAUUUCUACGCGACAAGCCACCUCGUUGAGCUAUCAUUUGUGAUGGCCAGGUCACUUAUGAAAAAGAGCUACAUAGCUCAGUGGGCCUUGGUAAAAUAAAAAAAUAUAAUUUCAUUAUUUUUGUAAUUAAAAAAUCUAGUUGUGGAAGGCGAUGUUGCAAGCGUGCGUGCGUGCUCGGCGUGCGUGUACACCUACACGUGUCGUAUCAGUAUGUCUGUGGACGUGGGUGUGCAACCUACGCAUUUGAGGAGUGCGUGUCGUGUGCUGGGCUUUUUGCGCGUAGUAAUUUUCGUGUGCAUGUUUGCAAUAGCUUGGCAUUUCCUCCCCUGGCACGGGGGAGGCCUGUUCCGUUCAUUACAGUGUUGAGGGGUCGCUGCCAAAAUGCGGUUAAACCGUGAAGCGACUGCGGUAUUCUGACCCUUUCCCUCUCUUCUUUAGCUGUUAAUUGUGCGCAGGAUACAUCCUAUGCCAAUGAGAAUGCCAAGAUUUCCACUCAUCUGAGCUUUCCCACCCACUCCAUAUUCUAGGCACUGUAACCACAAAUCAAUUAAGUUAAAUGAGCUUGGCCAAUUAAGAGUUUGUCCGUGGGUUUGUGUAUUCGUACGUUUGUGUUUGUAGGUGUGCGUACAAACGCAAGUCUUUGUAUCAAGAUGUUUACUUUGUAGGGCUGCAUGGCUUAAAUGCCUUUACAGACUUGUUAUGUAAGGUUGUGUUUGUUUCCAUAAAGCAUACAGUGCAUGUGUAACUUACAUAAUUGAACUAAACUUAAAGCUGCUAAAUUUGUGGAAUAAUUAAGCUGAAGAGACCUUGUUAUUCACCCGAGGUUUUUUAUUCACCAAAAAGGCUAAACUUUCUAUUCCAAAAUGAGAACGCAAUGAGGUUUGGACUGACCCAAACUCCACAAAACACCGAUCCGGUUUAUCCACUGGCGCACGAGGGCAGUUUGCCCUCCUUUGUGAAUGAAAACCCAGCCUCAAUCUGAAGUCAUGCAACGUAGCCCUGCCUCAUUUGAGCGCAGUGGCUUCACAACUCCAAACCAUGCCAAACGGGGCACUUGCUUUCAUGGCACAGCUGCCCUCAUCGGGACCCACCUUCCUUCCUUGUAUUGUCCCCCACGGCUGAACGGCGCUCAACACUCAUUCCGCGCCGGUCGUAAUUGCAACGUGCCGUCGGUGAAAUCGGGAAUUUGGCCAUGCAGAGACGGCGCACGCGCGCGGCGCGCAGAGUUGUAAAAGUCCGUCGUUGUGCACGCGGACUUGUUCGCGCCGCUUCGUUGCGGGGUCAGCUCGCGGCUGAGGAUCCCUGCGUUCAAAGGCCACAAGCGUGGGUUGUCGAACACUGGGCGACUCCGCCGCUGUGCUUGCGUGACGCGAGCGCUUCUUCACUCUGCUCCCUUACACGAUUAGCGCGGUUGGCUACGUACGGUGCGAAAGAGGUUCACCGUGCAUUCAUGCGUACACAGGCGCGCUCGUACUUACACCGUUGGCGUCUCUUGUUUUCAACUUGCGUUUAGCCGUGGCCCCCAUCGUGAUUGUAUCAGCAGGUCACUGACCCCAAUUCGGGUCACUGCCACACGACUGGGAAGCCCUGCCGCCCUUUCUCAUUGUGAUAAAAGUCUGCCGUCUGUUUUCAUGUAUCGUUUUGUAUUUUGAGAGAAUCGCUGUGUUGUGAGUGCACCCGGGCGUAAUUACUCGCAAGGAUGGAACGAUGUGGUCGGGAGCACCGUGCAGGCUCAUGGGAUCUGGCCCAUAUUUAUCUGCGCAUGUUUGAAGAAAGGUCCCUUGGCAGACGCCCAUGAUACAGAUUAACAUUCGGUGAAUCACAAAGUGCCCCGGGACCCAGUUACAAAAAUGUAAAAAACGGUGCUUUCCCAACAGUUUUCGCCACCCGCGUGUAACUCGUAACGCUUUUGCCCAGCUUGUGACGACCUAAAAAAAUAUAUAUACACCGCUGCUCUGCUAAGCACUGAAGGAUGUGGUGUGACUUUUGAGUUAAAUAAAAAAAAAGGUUGCUUAGGCUACGCAUGGACGAGGAAGUCAAAUUUGCACAAACAUUUAUUGAGUGUGUCCUCUAGGUCACUUAAUUUUCGAUUUUAAAACUGUACCCCUCGCAAAUCCAACACGUGACACUUUGUGCGUGCGCGUGCACGCGCGGCGACGCAAACGCGCGACGUGAUGUACAUAUGUAAAGUUAAACGUGCGCGUGUGUCGCGUUCGAUCCCAUUGACGAUGCCAGCAGGCGCCAGAAAGAAUGUACGCUUGCCUCCUCUAUACAUUACGUGUAAAUGACAUCAGUAAACGGUAUACAAUUGUAGAAAACGUGUUUUAAAGUUAUAUUUAUAUGUAGAUGUCAGUCGUGGAUUAUGGAGACGUCGAAACAAAGGAAAAUAAACCAGGAAACUGAAAAA
Petromyzon marinus (sea lamprey) is the source of this 2926-nucleotide non-coding RNA. Lineage: Eukaryota; Metazoa; Chordata; Hyperoartia; Petromyzontiformes; Petromyzontidae. The record is from RefSeq and is a predicted model, not a curated record.